GCGCCUCUAGCUCAACUGGAUAGAGCGUCUGGCUACGGACCAGAAGGUUGGGGGUUCGAGUCCCUCGAGGCGUA
RNAcentral lists this transfer RNA (74 nucleotides) under Candidatus Tariuqbacter arcticus. Its description in RNAcentral is "tRNA-Arg". It matches the Rfam family "tRNA". From Rfam's summary of the family: Transfer RNA (tRNA) molecules are approximately 80 nucleotides in length. Their secondary structure includes four short double-helical elements and three loops (D, anti-codon, and T loops). The record is from RNAcentral. Lineage: Bacteria; Pseudomonadati; Candidatus Electryoneota; Candidatus Tariuqbacteria; Candidatus Tariuqbacterales; Candidatus Tariuqbacteraceae.